GCUGGAAGGAGUUAGCUGAUGAGUAGACAUUACAACAUUUUUUAUAGUUGCAAGAUGACGCAGAAAGUCCCAUCCAGGAUGAUGCUUCGCUACAGUGGAUGAUGAAGCCAUGCUGGUUUACAAACUCAGGAGAGGAACAAAGAACAGAUAUUGACGGGAUCAUAUCUAGAGAUGCAGGCCUACUACACUUCAUACGAGCAAGUGUGCUAUUAAAUAUACAUACUUGGGUUAUCAUUACAGCCCUUUCUUCUGAAAACUAGGCUACAACUUUAUUGAUGGAUGCAGAAAACAUCUACAUGGGACUACGUCUUAAAGAUGCCACCCUCAUAUAAGGAAAGAGGACAGUAGAGAUGGGUUCAAACUUGAAUAUUUACAUACUAUUUAUUUAUUAUUUGUAUCAUAUGUUUGUAGAAUAC
Long non-coding RNA from Strongylocentrotus purpuratus (purple sea urchin), 416 nucleotides. RefSeq lists it as uncharacterized. The record is from RefSeq and is a predicted model, not a curated record. The transcript has 3 exons. Lineage: Eukaryota; Metazoa; Echinodermata; Echinoidea; Camarodonta; Strongylocentrotidae.